Molecule: ribosomal RNA, 475 nt
Filed under: Proteus mirabilis
Lineage: Bacteria; Pseudomonadati; Pseudomonadota; Gammaproteobacteria; Enterobacterales; Morganellaceae
Description: bacterial SSU rRNA
Rfam family: Bacterial small subunit ribosomal RNA
Source: RNAcentral
AUUGAACGCUGGCGGCAGGCCUAACACAUGCAAGUCGAGCGGUAACAGGAGAAAGCUUGCUUUCUUGCUGACGAGCGGCGGACGGGUGAGUAAUGUAUGGGGAUCUGCCCGAUAGAGGGGGAUAACUACUGGAAACGGUGGCUAAUACCGCAUAAUGUCUACGGACCAAAGCAGGGGCUCUUCGGACCUUGCACUAUCGGAUGAACCCAUAUGGGAUUAGCUAGUAGGUGGGGUAAAGGCUCACCUAGGCGACGAUCUCUAGCUGGUCUGAGAGGAUGAUCAGCCACACUGGGACUGAGACACGGCCCAGACUCCUACGGGAGGCAGCAGUGGGGAAUAUUGCACAAUGGGCGCAAGCCUGAUGCAGCCAUGCCGCGUGUAUGAAGAAGGCCUUAGGGUUGUAAAGUACUUUCAGCGGGGAGGAAGGUGAUAAGGUUAAUACCCUUAUCAAUUGACGUACCCGCAGAAGAGCACC